UGAUUUUAUUUUCUCUGAGAUGAAAGAAGGGUUUGAGGGGUAGUCUCUUUGUCCACCCUAGCCUCCUGUUCCUCAAAGGUCCCCUCGUACUGGGGGUUUGGUGGAGGAGACUGUGUAACCCUAGUUUCC
This is a non-coding RNA of Chelonoidis abingdonii (Abingdon island giant tortoise), 129 nucleotides long. The record is from RefSeq and is a predicted model, not a curated record. Lineage: Eukaryota; Metazoa; Chordata; Testudines; Testudinidae.